GCUGCGCGGCGCUAAAGGGCCGACGCGGGGCGCCGUGGAAUUUAUUGGCGCGCGUUUCGGCCUUCUAGAUGUAAACGAAAAUGUGUAACGCCCGGCGUGGCCGUCGAGGCGUGCACGGGGACCGAGUCGCCUCCCCUAAAAGGGCGCCUAUCCUGUCGAUGGAGUAGAGGAGGAAGAAGAAGAAGAAACGCAGCAUCGGUGCGAGAGGGGGGGAGAGGCAGGAUGAGUGGCGAUCGGAUUUAAAGGGGGCCGCUGAUCGACCAACAAGUGGUGGCGGCGCCUUCAAAGGAUCCUUCCACCUUGCUCUUUCGCUUCUGCCCAGUGCAUCCUGUCUCUGUUCCCCUGUUUCUAUCUCGUUCUGUUCUGGCGGUCGGGUGACAAUCGGGUCGCCAAGGUAUUUUCUCCUAAAAUACCCACACCUAUAGUUCUCCCCAUUAGAUUAGAUGCCGCGGCGCACGAAAAAGAGACUCGCCUAACUCGACACGGACGCGAAACCACCCGACAACAGGGGAAAAAAGGAAGAAGAAGGGGGAACAAGACUACUCUCCUGCUUAAUGAUGUGCCGCGCUAGCGAUCCGCGCUCGACGCGCCACCGCUGCGCUGUUUCUUUCUAACUGUGGAAUAGGGAUUUUUGUGUACUCGGACAUCCACUUUUCGAAUUGAUUUUAAAUUCUAUCAAUUUCUGAACGGAUGAAAAUUCAAAAGUGUACAAUUUAGUAAUGGAUUUGUUACUAAAAAUUUGAAAUUUCUUAAAUGUGCUACUGAGGUAAGAGAACGUUUCUGUGGAUAAAUAAAGAAGUUUUCGUUUAAUAGAGAAAUUUGGUGUGAUUAUCUUAAAAAGGACAUUUAGUGCUUGAAAUAUAAAUUGAGAUCUAUUUUGAGGUUAUGAUACUGCGAGAAGUAUAUUUAUAAUUUUUAUACGUGAAUUAUAGAAAAUUUAAUAAAUAAUAAAAAUUUUGUUU
This is a long non-coding RNA of Apis cerana (Asiatic honeybee), 962 nucleotides long. RefSeq lists it as uncharacterized. NCBI's taxonomy places the organism in Eukaryota, Metazoa, Arthropoda, Insecta, Hymenoptera, Apidae. The record is from RefSeq and is a predicted model, not a curated record.